Molecule: long non-coding RNA, 1670 nt
Organism: Papaver somniferum (opium poppy)
Lineage: Eukaryota; Viridiplantae; Streptophyta; Magnoliopsida; Ranunculales; Papaveraceae
Exons: 2
Source: RefSeq, a predicted model, not a curated record
CAACUUUGGUCUUAUCUACCCAACCGAUAGGAUAUCCUUUCUUCUUCUUUCUCUUUCUUCUUUUCUUCUUUUCCUUUCUUUUCACUGUUCUUAUUUUCUGGCGAAAUUGAGAAAUCAAAACAGAAGAUUCGUGAUCAGUAGAAGGUGGAGAAGAUCAUGGGAUAGUUUAUGAUGAUGUUUUGGUUGUCUGUAGUUGAUUCAUAUUCGAGAGAAGAGGUGAAUUAGAGAAAGAGAAACUAGGGUUUCUGAAGAUGGAAUCGAAUGAGGAUUUUUGUGAUUCUGAGAAAAAAAUUAAGUAUGGUGAUGGGUAUUAUGAUUUGAGAGUUAUGAAGAGAAUUUUGCAGUUAAUUCUAUAAUUUCAGUGAAGAAACUAGGGUUUCUGCAUGUUGUAUUUGAGUUUGAAUUGGGCAAAUAUUAAGAAGAGUUAGAUGGAACUAUAAGAUGGGUUUGAUUAAUUGAAAGGUUUGAUUGAUGUCUUGAGAUUGAAUGUGAUAUUGAAGAUAGUUUAGGUUCAUGUGUUCUUCCCCAAAUUGAAAUUAGGUUUGAGUAGAAUUGAUGAUGAAUUAGAGUAAUCGAUAGAUGAAGCACAAGGGGGUAGCCCGGUUGAAUUGAUGUUGUGUAGUUGUUUUAGAGGAUAAUCAAAGAGUUAGGGUUUUCCCUGUGAAUUGAUGAUGAUUUGGUUGGAAUUUGAUUAGUUGGCUGAGAACUGUUGGUGAUGAUGGGACUGAUUUGGUAUUGGGGGAACUGAGUUGGUGAAUUGUUGUAUCCUUAAGAAGAAUAGAAGAAUCCAGUUAAGCAAGAAGAGAAGUUGAAUUGUAUUUGCUGGAAUUGGAAUGUGUUAGGUUGAUAUAGAAACUGGGGUUUGUGAACUAGUGUUAAUGCGAAAUUGCAGAUGAUGAAUACGAGUUAAUUGGUGGUAUGUACAUGUUGAUCAGAAUUGUAGAGUUUAGUUACAUAGUGGUGGUUCUGAGGUUGUUGGUGAGUUACAAGGAAUUGUUGGAAGUUGAAUUGAGUUACAGAGCUGCAGAUACAGUCCAGAGUUGGUGGUGGUAUUGUAAUAGAGAUGCAAGUGAAGUUGUUAGUGGCUCGGAUGUGUUUUAAGAGGAAUUAGAAUUAACUGGUUGGUGUUGUGCUGUAUUUCAAAUGAUGGUGUAUUACUGUGAUUGGGUCUGGAGUAUUAGUGUGCAAUUGAGUUUGGUUGAAACUGACAAUGUAAGUCGGUGAAUAUGUUAUAGGGUUAUGAGAGCUGAUUGAACUAGAAUUGAAUUACAGUUGAGGGAUUUAUGUAUGAGAUGUAGAAGUUGAUGUUUAGUGUGGAGUUGAAUGCAAGUUAUGAAUUGCCCGUGGGUUAAAGAUGUUGCUUGGAACUGCAUUGGCAGAGACAGAUCAGAGUUGCGCAGCGAAAGCUUCAAGGGUUGUUUCCGUUAAUUGGUUAACUUCAGAUAUGUUUAUUAUGUUGCAUAUUAUAUUUGUAAACCAAAUAACUAUUGUAUAUGUAUCAUCUGAGAGGAAUUUUUGUAUAUCUGUUUCAGAGCGGGGGUAGUUUUGGGUUAAGUUUUAUAGCAGAUUUCCUAAUUGAAUUUUUAAGUAAAUGAUUUAAAUUGUUAGUGCCUUUUUAUUUAGUUAAUCACUUGGAUUAGUCAACUACUAGUUUUGGAGGCGUUACAUUA